This 364-nucleotide ribosomal RNA is filed under the name uncultured bacterium. RNAcentral describes it as "partial 16S ribosomal RNA". It matches the Rfam family "Bacterial small subunit ribosomal RNA", at positions 338 to 699 of the family's 1533-position model. The record is from RNAcentral.
CCUACGGGAGGCAGCAGUGAGGAAUAUUGGUCAAUGGACGCAAGUCUGAACCAUCCACGCCGCGUGCAUGAAGACGGCUCUAUGAGUUGUAAACUGCUUUUUUACGAGGGUAAACGCAGAAACGCGUAUCUGUCUGAAAGUAUCGUACGAAUAAGCAUCGGCUAACUCCGUGCCAGCAGCCGCGGUAAUACGGAGGAUUCAAGCGUUAUCCGGAUUGAUUGGGUUUAAAGGGUGGGUAGGCGGUUGGGUAAGUUAGAGGUGAAAGCCCGAGGCUCAACGUAGGAAUUGCCUUUGAUACUGUUCGACUAGAGUGUAGGAGCGGAAGGCGGAAUGUAUGGUGUAGCGGUGAAAUGCUUAGAGAUCA